UUAGUUCCCAAGAAAAUGGACACUUUUGGAUUAUAAAGCAAUCAAAUGGACAACACAUAGGCUAUUACUCUGCCACCCGUUCACAUGUUACCAUCUCCUGCACUUAAUGUAUUUUUCAUUGCCAAUGGUACUAAGUAGGUGUGACUUACCUUAUGGACUCAUACGCUGUGCUUUUUCCAUAAUUUUACAGUACAUUCCCUUUAUGUAAUUUUGUAUUGACUUAGAAUUUUAGGAACUCCAUAGUAUAUGCUCAUUGCGCC
This 260-nucleotide unclassified non-coding RNA is filed under the name Hevea brasiliensis (rubber tree). Lineage: Eukaryota; Viridiplantae; Streptophyta; Magnoliopsida; Malpighiales; Euphorbiaceae. The record is from RNAcentral.